UGGGGUGAAACUGUCUCCUUUAUAUUAUAUUGAACUUACUCAAUAGGUGAAAAUGCCUAUAAAUAGAAAAAAGACGAGAAGACCCUAGGAGUUUUUACUAAAUGUUAAAUUUCAUAUUAACUGUUGUUUUUGUUGGGGCGACAAGGGAGCAUUAAGAAUAAACCUCCUCUUUUAAUUUGCCGACAUAGUAUGAGAAAAUAAACUACCCUAGGGAUAACAGCGUAAUUCUUAAGAGCUUGCGACCUCGAUGUUGGACUAGGAAUUUGGUAGGCUAGCCGCCUAUUUAUAUUGUUCUGUUCGAACUGUUUUUCCUACGUGAUCUGA
This 324-nucleotide ribosomal RNA is filed under the name Elysia diomedea. RNAcentral's name for it is "partial large subunit ribosomal RNA". Lineage: Eukaryota; Metazoa; Mollusca; Gastropoda; Plakobranchidae. The record is from RNAcentral.